RNAcentral lists this long non-coding RNA (1290 nucleotides) under Ursus maritimus (polar bear). Its description in RNAcentral is "lncRNA (ENSUMAG00000018843.1)". Lineage: Eukaryota; Metazoa; Chordata; Mammalia; Carnivora; Ursidae. The record is from RNAcentral.
GUUCCUAUUUGAAAGAUAAUAUUUUAAUGGUUCAUUGAGCUUAAGAAUUUUUUGACAUUGAAGGAAAUAUAUUGAUUUUUCACUCAACUUUAAGAUUUCAGAGAUGGUAGGAGAGCUAUUUGAGGCAUAAAAAUGUAUGACUAUGUACAGAUGGAAUGGCCUUGAGGUUCUUGUAUGUACGACUUCAGACUCUAUGUAUGAUCUUGGAGGAACCUUUCUUGUUACUGGUCUAUUUUUCCAUAUAAGAUAGAGGCAAGGACAUAUGUAAAGAGAACAUGGCCCGGAGACAUGGAGUACAUGUGUGCAGUACAACAGUACUCUGACAUUAUCAGAAGACCGAGAAGCUACCAGGCCAUGUGACAUCAGAACACCAUGAAUUUGGCCAGUGAAAAUGGAAGCUAUGUAAUUGGUGAAUUCCAAAUUCCAGGCAAGCAAGCUGAUUGGCCAAGCUACAGUGGAAUGUGAUCAGUACUGUAAAAGCAGAGUUCUGGGGAAAAGCCCAGGUGUGCCUAGGAGUCACUGCGCCUCUUCUCUUGGCAUCUACCCUUUCUGUUCCUGGUGAUGAACUGGCAAGAGGAGCAAGACAUCCCAGCACUCUGUCACACAUAAAGGAUAACAUUGGGAUUUCUGGAUUCAAGAGUGAAGAAAUUUAUAUCAGAGGAUCACACAGGUUCCAGUUUAAGAGCCAACUGGACGGAAGACUUUGCUGCCUAGAGAGGUGUCAUGUUUCAUGCAGCCCUAGGGACCAGGUGUGUCAGGUGUGGGCUAGUGAUGUGAGAUGUCCGCCCGACUCCUUACUGCUGGGCUCAGCUGCACACUACGUAAAGCUAGUCUAUGUCAAGUCCAUUCAACUUCAGACUUUCUCGCAACCGCAAGACAAUUGGCAUGGUGGCUCUGCUCAGCACAAGGUUAGUGUUCUGGACUGAAUGUUUAUGUCUCCUCCAAAUUCAUAUGCUGAAGCCCUAACUCCACUGUGACUGUAUUUAGGGGUAAGGCCUGUAAGGGGAUGGUGAAAGUAAGAUGAGUUUCAUGAGGGUGGGACCCUAAUCCAAUAGGAUGGGCUCCCUUACAGGAAGAGGAAGAAUGGGGGCACCUGGCUGGCUCAGUCGGUUAAGCAUCUGCCUUUGGCUCGGGUCACGAUCCCGGGGUCCUGGGAUCAAGCUCCGUGUUGGCUUCCUGCUCAGCUGGAAGUCCGCCUCUCUCUCUCCCUCUGUCCCUUCCCCUGGCUUGUGUUCUCUCCCUCUCUGUGUCUCAAAUAAAUAAAUAAAGUCUUAAAAAAGAGAGAGAGAG